AGGGACAGCAGCAGCCGCGGUAAUACAGAGGGUGCGAGCGUUAAUCGGAUUUACUGGGCGUAAAGCGUGCGUAGGCGGCUUUUUAAGUCGGAUGUGAAAUCCCUGAGCUUAACUUAGGAAUUGCAUUCGAUACUGGGAAGCUAGAGUAUGGGAGAGGAUGGUAGAAUUCCAGGUGUAGCGGUGAAAUGCGUAGAGAUCUGGAGGAAUACCGAUGGCGAAGGCAGCCAUCUGGCCUAAUACUGACGCUGAGGUACGAAAGCAUGGGGAGCAAACAGGAUUAGAUACCCCAGUAGUCCCUGUCUCUUAUAC
This 309-nucleotide ribosomal RNA is filed under the name uncultured bacterium. RNAcentral's name for it is "partial 16S ribosomal RNA". It matches the Rfam family "Bacterial small subunit ribosomal RNA", at positions 504 to 807 of the family's 1533-position model. The record is from RNAcentral.